UUCCCUAGCUCUAACCCUAAUCAUAUAUUUCUCAAAGUUUUUGAUUUUUAUUCAAGAUUCCUUCUAAUCAAUUAUUUCUUCUUUGUAUGUAGAUGUGGUUGCAACUUCGGAGCUUUUUUCAUCUGUGAUAUCGUAGCGUGUGAAAGACGGAUAAUUCUACAGAGACAAUGCAUCAUCCCAUUCGGUCAGGUCAAUUUUCAUCCCUAUUUUGUUUAUAAUCUAU
RNAcentral lists this small RNA (223 nucleotides) under Arabidopsis thaliana (thale cress). RNAcentral's name for it is "ATSL001690". The record is from RNAcentral. Lineage: Eukaryota; Viridiplantae; Streptophyta; Magnoliopsida; Brassicales; Brassicaceae.